GAAAACGAUUCGCUGGCCUCUUUUCUGGUUUUCUUUCGUGAGCUAAAGGUGUGGUUGACAAUCUCAUCUUGGAAGCCAGUGAUUCUCUCUUAGCUGAGACCUGCAAGCCGUUGGUGAAGACACUCCCUUUCAUUGUACCCCAGCCCAUCCCUCCUCGGAAGCCUCGAAUAACUUACAAAAGAAUCCCUCAACUGUCGUCUUCCUGUAUUGUGCACACAGUGACGUGUCCAUCCUACAGUGACGUCAUGAAAAUUGCGUCAUCAGUAAGCGAGUGAUCAUGGACCUUUGGGAAUCAUCUUCGAGGCAUCAUGAAUGCCCCACCUGACAUGACAGCAACUGGAGAAAAAGAAGUUCACAGUAAGAGGACAAAUAUCAACACGGACAGACCAGUAACAGAAAUUUGUGCCACGUGAUUUUACUUUUAAUCCCAGCAGAGCGGGACAAGCUGUUGUACGAAGCAGAGCCAAACUUAUAGGACACCAGAAACUCCGAAAACAAGUUGAGUAGUCGUCAUGUGAUCUGCUGUGACCUGCUGUGACCUGCUUACCACUGUCCAAGACAGACGUGAGAUCAGGUCUUGCCAUCUGUCGUGUUCAACCCUAACCUUCUCACAACAGCCUCAGUUGAGGUGCUGAAGGAUUGACUCAGAAGCAGAACUAAGAAAAUCCAGAGGAGUGUCGAAGCAAUGGCACAUCUUUAUGUCAUCAACGCCUGUGUAGAUAAUAAUAGACUAAUAUGAAUUGCCAUUAAAUUUUACAGUCCUUAGCAUAUCAGUUUUGGAAGGAUACAAUUAGGUUCAGUAAUUUAGACAGAUAAACGAUCUUUGGAAGAAUAUUUAAGACUUGUGAUGGAAGCAAUGUAUACUGAAAACUGCAUUUCUCAUGACAAGUGGAUAUCAAACCAACAGUGGACCUGUCAGGUCGGAAGCCUGUGACUGUGUUGACAUGAAAUGUACUCAGUAUGAAAGGUCCGAGCAAACAACUUUCCAAUGUUGUUGUACAAGACAGCGGACUCAAAAUACUUGCAGUCAAUGAUCUAAUGAGUUUUAUCACAGCUUUCUAUAAGCCAAACUUUUUCCGGAAGUUAACAAACAACACUUAAACUUAGUCCUCUCCUUCCUUUGGAAAUGUUUGAAAACAGAUGAAUGGUUUUCAUCAAGUGCUAGAUGUUUCUCAGAACAGAAUAGUAGGCUAAUGGAUGUAAUCAGCAAAGUACAGGCGAUGGACACCGCUCUCAUAACAGGUUGGCCCCGACAACAGGGGUCUUUAAUGCCUAAAUUCACCAACAACUAAAAGAUUAUGGGACUUCCUUUCUAAUUAUUACUAUUUAAAUAUACUAUUUGAUUUUUCAAGUGCAAUAAAUUCUCAAACUCAAGAACCUUUAUAAUAAAGACAGUUAAUUUGAUUCGCGUUGAAAUCAAAUAAAACAAAGAAAAUCGUCAUUAGGGAAUACCCGUUAUUAUUAAUGAUUACUCAUCAGAAGUUUAUACUCUAAAGGCAUCGAUUUGUCGAACUAGUGUUUGUAGCUAUCAUGAGACACUUUAUUUUUUUAACAUCUGGCAAAGAAAUGGUAAAAUGUUUCCUUAAAAACCUUUAAGUCGUAAAUAUGUGAAAAAUGUUAGGUUUGAAAGAAGUGAGAAAUAAAUGGGUUUUAUAGGGUUAGAGAGACCUACAUGCAAAGAACUGCAAAGAGUAUUUACGACCUAAAGGGUCUUGAAAACCAGAUACAUUCUACCGAAGGGGGUGUAAUGUCCAAAAAAGAUUUACAUUAGAAAAAAUAAACAGAAAGGAGAAGAACAGAAGAAAAAUAAGUAAUACAUGAUCUACUCAUAAAUGAAUUAGACAUUUCUCAUUGUGAGAAUUUCCGACUGUUAAACAAGAAACAGAAAGAUAUGCUAUCUGUCGACACUUGACUAGCAAACAUACACGUGACCUCGGGUUCAUUGAGCCUCAACCCCGUGAGCGGAAAUCUCGACACAAUGACAGACAAAAAACAGACAAAUAUUAUUUACAGCUUUCAUUAAAAGUCUGAAAAUAAAUACAAAUAUAAUAAAAUUAUUUACUUACUGAUUUGUUAUAUGACCCAGAAGCAGGUAAAUAAAAAUUGCGUGCAGUUAAGAAAGCAAUUCUACUCAACUGGAUUUUCCCGUUCGCUAGAAAAUGAUUCGACAUCGGGACGAUUUCAGAAUAUGGUAAACAAGACAUGAGUCCAGCGGAACAUGUUCCAAGCUUAUGAAUGCCCUUGCUGUGGAGGUUGUUGGAUUAAAAUUCUUCACGGUGGCUACAUUUUUGGAUUCGCGCAUUUAUUGCACCUGUUUGGGCAUGCAGAUUGUGAGCAGGCACAGUUUGAGGUUCCUGCCACAAUUAAAAUGUCCGCAAGUGAAAGCGAUUCGCGGCAAAUAUACAAUUCCUCUCUGUUUCUUCCUUACUGUGAGGAGGACAAGAAUCCGAGGAUGUCGCCAAGUCAUCAGCGCCUAGCAACUCAAUCGUCACGUGAAGAUUGUGCGAGGCACCAUCGUAGAGGGCAGGUCUAGUGAUUUCUUGUGUGAACCACAGAACCCUUACGAAAAAGAUACAAGUUCUUUUAUAGAAUUCGUGAAAUUGUCAUAACCUCCAACCUUCCAUUUAAUUGUUCUUGACACAUUUCAGCAAUUUUCUAGAUAUAGCUAUGGGUAAAGGUUCAAGCUGGCAAUCACCAAAGAAAUUUGUUGCGACAGCUAAUGGCCAUCCAAGUAUAAUGCAAAAUAAAGAGGGGCCAAAAAUACUGAAAAGUCUGGGAAUUUUUCCAGAUUUUUGGGGGGCAAACUGUGAUUCAAAUAUUAAGCAUGAAGAGAAUGCCGACAAUAUUCGAAACUUUAAUCAAGCAUUCAAAUUUAUCAUAAAGAACACGAAUAGAUUACAGUGCAAUUUUGAGACGCGUGUGUUUGAUGAUGAUGAUUCAAUUUUUUCACCAAAAACAAAAUGGAACUCUAAAAAUAUGCAAAAAUGUGAAAUAGACAAAGGAGAAAAGGCCGAGAAAAGGAAAGGAGAAAAUGUGCAUGGCACGCAGAACAGUGAGGUGUUCAGCGCCAACGAUGAAUGCAACAAUGAAAAUCGAGAGAAAGAUAAAGACAGAGAUAGAGACAGCGCCGUUCGAUUCGUUGGAAAUGGUAACAGGAAAUGUUUGCACUUUUCCUCUAAUAUUAUCAAUUUAAAAAACGAAAAAGAUAACGAAGCAAAAGGCAAUGAAUCUGUUGAAGAAGAUGAAAUGGAAGAGUACAAUAAAGGUAAUAUGUGCCAGCAGCCAGCUGUAGCUGUAUUGGAUGGCAAAGAAAUGAAGGUAAUUUUAACCGAUUCUGCAGCUGAGCAUCAGACAAUAUUCCCAGAUGAAGAUGUCACGGAAGGCAGCAUGGGAAGCGGUGUCAAAAAAGAAGACCGUCAUUGUUUCCACGCACCCUUCGUACUGCUCCACCCCGAUAUAUCUACAGGAAAGAGUUCCUCCUCCACAUCAAUAACAGUAAAUAAAGAAAAUACUGAUCCAAACGCCGAUCAGAUUUGUGAUGAGGAAUUCAGCAGCCGAUACUCGCUUUUUAAUGACUUGAAAACACUGCAUCAGAAAAUGUGCAAUGAACCUGAACAAACUGACGAACCUGCCAGUUUGAAACAUUUUUUCUUGGAACGUGUUGAGUUUGCUGCAAGGCAGGUUUUGGCCUUUCCAUUUCUGCACGAAGAACUGAGAGGACUGUCAAAAGAAGAAACACUGCGGUAUGAAGUGAUUAGGCUAGCCUCAUUUAGCCGUCUUAAUGAGUUAAAGGUCAGCGCCAUUCGCCUGGCGAUGUCUGGGUUUCACUAUGACGAAGAAGAUCGACGAAAUUAAAUGCUUCAGCUGUGGAGUCUGCAAAAGACACUGGGAGAGAUCAGAAGUCCCAUCCUAUUGUCCACUUGCAGAUUUCUCCUAAAUGUAAACAUGCCAACUUUGAGGAUGUCACCAACGUACCAAUUCAGACGAAAAACUAUACAUUGCUGGAUGGUUCUACAGAAGCUCGGUCAAUGCAAGGAAUUUUGCAACAGACAAAAGAUGACGGACGCUCCACUGCUCCGCCUUUAAUGUCGAUGCCAGAUAGUGGGUUUGAGUCAGCAGCAGACCCACUGGAAAGCAGAGAACCAUCGUCAACACUUGAAAAGACCCAAUCACAUCUCUAUAACCAUGCCGAUGAAAAAAGCGAUGGUUUGGAGGGUUCUUCGUUGCCAGUGCCAAGUUUAAAGGGCGCUACGACGGCUGUAUCUUCCUUUUCAUCGAAAGCAGGGUUAGAAGGAUACACAGAACCACCUGGUGGACGUUCAGAAAAAAGUAGCAACUACAACAGCGGGCCGCCUCCAGUGUAUAAUGUAUACACGACUCUGAUGUCUCACGCUGAUACUCCUGGCCUUGAAGGGAAGAGAUUCCCUGUUCAAGCUCAGCAACCUGCUGCUGUGAUUCAUCCAUACCCGUACCCUGAGUCUGGGAGGCUUUCAUCGAGUGGCACGUCCCCUCCAGUCAUCCCCGAACCCUCAACACCUGGCCUUGACAUGAUGCUGGCCGCUAGUCCGAUGAACUGCAAGGUCAUGACCCGGUUCGUGUCCUUCGCAAACUCGUGGUCGACUCUUACUACAGGACAAAGUCCGAAGGACCUAGCGCUUGCUGGAUUCUUUUAUUUAGGCACUGGAGAUAGCGUACGUUGCUUUUACUGCGGUAUCACGUUACGUGAGUGGAAACACGGUGACGACCCUUGGGAGGUUCACAUCGUGGCCCGUUUCUCGUGUGCCUAUGUCAAAGCAGUGAAGGGAGAGGACUUCAUUCUGCAGACCCUCAUUUCACAUUCCAGAAACACAGCUUGCUGUCUGCUGGAAAUGCACGGCUCCAGACAUCCACUUCUUCACGGGAGCAUCUCUCGAGUUCUGGAACUUUUCGUGGAAACAACCACGAUGCACCGUCAGUACAAACUCCAUCAGGAUCUGGCCAAUCACCACUCGGGCGAUCCCCACUUUGGAGGCUGACUGUUCCUCUAGAAACUCUUCUCAAGCGGUUCAGGCUGCAUCGUCAACUGAAUCAGUUACUUCAUCUGCAUCUGCCACAUGA
RNA transcript from Pomacea canaliculata, 5097 nucleotides. RefSeq lists it as uncharacterized. The record is from RefSeq and is a predicted model, not a curated record. The transcript has 6 exons. NCBI's taxonomy places the organism in Eukaryota, Metazoa, Mollusca, Gastropoda, Architaenioglossa, Ampullariidae.